Clostridium sp. CAG:510 is the source of this 72-nucleotide regulatory RNA element. It matches the Rfam family "Fluoride riboswitch aptamer (crcB RNA motif)". NCBI's taxonomy places the organism in Bacteria, Bacillati, Bacillota, Clostridia, Eubacteriales, Clostridiaceae. The record is from Rfam.
AUGAUUUCAGGGAAUGAAGUUCUCCCUUGGGAAACCUAAACCGCUUAGUAAGCUGAUGACUUCUGUGAUGCA